RNAcentral lists this unclassified non-coding RNA (496 nucleotides) under plant metagenome. RNAcentral's name for it is "partial contains small subunit ribosomal RNA, internal transcribed spacer 1, and 5.8S ribosomal RNA". The record is from RNAcentral.
UCUCCGUAGGUGAACCUGCGGAGGGAUCAUUAACACGUUCCAAACCAUGAUUAACCCAACUGUGAACUUCGUAUCUGCCUCGCUGUCUCACAGUGAGAGGUAGGCUGAAGCCAGGAUGAAGGUGAGAGGUUGCCGCUCGCGACAACAGCAGCAGCAGCAGCUCAUACGGCUCCAGUCUCGUUGGCCCGUGGUAACACGCUUUUGCGGUUGUCGCGACCAGCCUUGCACUGUAAGAUGAGGCCAACAACAUAUGCGGUCAGCGCUUAUCAUCGGCGUUGCUCGUCAUAUCCACACUCCCGUUCUCGUCGUGUUGCGUUGCUCUGGCAGUCGCGCACGCUUGAGAAUGAUUGACAUACUCUGUUGAUGUUGUGGGCUUGCGGUCGCCUCUGUCUAACAGAGCGACCCUAGCCUGUCUGUCUCAGCUCCUUAUGUGGAGUACUGAUGACUUUGCAUGAAUACAGCAACACAACUCUUAGCAAUGGAUAUCUUGGUUCUC